Monomorium pharaonis (pharaoh ant) is the source of this 1458-nucleotide RNA transcript. RefSeq lists it as uncharacterized. Lineage: Eukaryota; Metazoa; Arthropoda; Insecta; Hymenoptera; Formicidae. The transcript is spliced from 2 exons. The record is from RefSeq and is a predicted model, not a curated record.
AUGAAAAAGACUGUAUGAUUACUGCAAAUGAAAUGGCAAUUAAAGCUGGAUUAAUAUUUGAUCCGUCAACUAAAAAAAUGAUAGGGAAAUGCACAUUUCCUACUCAUGUCGGACCAGCUAAGAAAGUCCUUGUCAUUAUGUGUGGAGGAAUUACUAAAAGAAAGGAAAGUUGUUGUGGCUUAUUUUUUUACUGGAAAAGAAGACUCAAAAAUAAUUAAUAAAAAUGUUAAUAAUAGUGGCAUUGCUUUCAAGGAUGUGAUAUUGAAAAUCAUUGAUAAAUGUGAAAAAAUAGGAUUGAAAGUUCAUUCAAUUACAACUGAUAUGGGAUCUGAAAAUAGAGCCAUGUGGAAUGCAUUUGGUGUUGGUUGCACACGUGAAUCUGAUGCUAAAGUCAGUACACAGCACCCCGUUAGGCCAGAGGACAAAUUUUACUUUAUACCAGAUCCAGUGCACUUAUACAAAAAUAUUCUAACUAUGCUUGAAAGCAAUCAAAUUAUUCAUCUUCCUUAUAAUUUUCUUAUCUCUGAGAAACUAACGCAUCCAAUAGUCAAUAUUCAACAUAUAGAUGAUGUGCUACAAUUUGAAUUGCAAUUUGAAAUGAAGAUAGCUUACAGAUUGAAAAAGACUAAACUUCAUUGCAAGAACUCCUAUGAAAAAAUGAAAGUUGGAACGGCCUGAUCAGUCUUCAAUCGACGAACUGAGAUUGCUUUGAGAAAGUAUGCUGAACGUACUGGUAAUGAUGCCUAUAGGACCACUGCUUCUUUUGUUAAAUUAGUGAGCCAUUGGUUUGAUCUAAUGUCAAACAGAUCUACAAAGCUAGCUCUUGGUCUGUUGAACAACAAACAAUAUGAAGAAGCAAUUGAGCACAUAAAGAAAACUGCUUAUGUGUUUCGUUUUAUGACAGUAGGCAUUGACAAACACUGGAAACCUUGUCAAACAGGCGUUGUUAUGGCAUGCGUAAGUAUCAUUGAUUUGCAAGAUUAUUUUUUGUGCAAGCGUUCCUACAAGUUUAUUUUAACUAGUCGAUUUUGCCAAUGUUGUCUUGAAAAUCUGUUUUCUGCUCUGAGAGUGAAACAACCUAUUCCAAAUCCUCUCCAAGUUAAACAAAAUCUGAGAGUUUUGGUGUUGAGUCAAGUUUGCACGAACGCUAAAAAUACCAGCUAUGACAAUGACAUUGAUCAUGAAGCUAUUAAAAUGGAUUUUAUUAAAUUUUCUAGAGAUUUGUCUAUAGCACGACGUGAAGAAAAUGUCAUUGAAGAAUUAAUGGAAUCAUCUGCUUUAAUAUUGCCUCAAUUAAAAGAUCAUCACAUAAAUAUAUCAGAUACUUGGGAGUUGCAGAUUAUAUGAUAUGGCAGGAUUAGUUCUUCAUAGCAUAAGAAUAGGCAGCACGACAAUUUGUAAGCAUUGUGUGAUGAAAACUUUUGCCGUAAAUUUGCUUGAAACUUUUAGAAAACAAAG